AGAGAAAUAAGAGUGACGGAGAAAUAUGAAGUGACACGGAGCGUCACUGGCACAUCCUGUGUGAGUGAAACCUCCUGUUUGACCGUUGCAGGUGAGACAUGAGAGGCGUGACGAGUCCAAACAAGAGAGUCCAGCCAGGUGGAUGUGGUGGGUGAGGUGGGUGAGGUGGAUGAGGUAGGUGAGCUGGAUGAGGUGCGUGAGGUGGGUGAGCUGGGUGAGGUGGGUGAGGUGGGUGAGGGGGAUGAGGUGGGUGAGGUGUGAGGUGGGUGAGGUGUGAGGUGGGUGAGGUGGGUGAGGUGGAUGAGGUGGGUGAGGUGGGUGAGGUGGGUGAGGUGUGAGGUGGGUGAGGUGGGUGAGGUGGGUGAGGUGGGUGAGGUGGAUGAGGUGG
Gasterosteus aculeatus aculeatus (three-spined stickleback) is the source of this 388-nucleotide long non-coding RNA. The record is from Ensembl. Lineage: Eukaryota; Metazoa; Chordata; Actinopteri; Perciformes; Gasterosteidae.